This 2355-nucleotide long non-coding RNA is filed under the name Capsicum annuum. RNAcentral's name for it is "long non-coding RNA (CANN_LNC008723)". Lineage: Eukaryota; Viridiplantae; Streptophyta; Magnoliopsida; Solanales; Solanaceae. The record is from RNAcentral.
AUUACUAUGUUGUGCAUCUGUAACAAUAUUGCUAUCUUUCCUUUGGUUUCUUUUUCCCCUUUUUACAAGGUAAAAGUUAUGCAGUAGUAUUAAUGUGGCAUCUAAGAUGUACAAUGUGGUUUUUUGGUGAAAUAAAUUUGUUGAGAAGCACCGGAAGGGUGUGGCUUAGUGGUCAAUGAAGUGAGUUGCGAACUAUGAGGUCUUAGGUUCAAAUCUCGCAAAGAUAAAAAAUACCAGGUUAGGUGAUUUCUUCCCAUUUGUCCUAGCAUUGGUUGACAAAGAUACCUUGGUAUUUGUUGCUGAGGGGAGGUGUGUGUGACAACUGACAGGUAUCCCGUGAAAUUUGUCGAGAUGCACGCAAGCUAGCCCGGUCAGAAUGCUAGAUAAUACAAGUUCAUCUUGAUUAAAAGAGAAACUGAUGUAUUCAUCAUAUCAAUUCACUUAUUCAGUCCAUGGAUUGCCUUCAGCUGAAGUAAAACUUACAAAAUCACUGAUUUUAGUUUGGUUCCUCUUAUAGGAUAAAUCUAAUUCCUGCCUUUUGCAAUUCUUAAGUGAUCCACAUAUAGCAAUCAAGAAUAGCCAUAUAGAUAAUGGAGUUUUUUUAAUAGGUCCUCGAAAAGUAGCAGAGUUUGAUGGAUCGCACCGAAGGACACCUAGGGCUAGUAGUCAAUGAAGUAGGUUGAGGAUUAAGAAGUCUCGGAUUGAAAUCCAACAGAGGCAUAUUUACUAGGUGAUUUCUUCUCGUUGUCCAAGUUUUGGUGGAUAGAGAUACCUAAUACUCAUGUUGGUGGGAGAUAGCAGAUACCUUGUAUUAUUAGUCGAGAUGUGCCCAAAAUAGCGAGGAUACGACUUCUAUUCGAAAAGAGAAUAGGACAUGAAAAACUCAGUGAUCAUAGAAGACUUUUAGGGGUGUAUGAGUUGUCUUCCAAUGUCCAUACAAUUGAGAGUGACAAGUAGUAUUAGAGCUUGGUAAUUAUAAGCAUUGAGAGCUUGGGUAAAAAGGUUGUCAAAGUGGGGAAAUGACUAGGUCUUAAAAUAAGUAGUAUUCAUAAUGAAAGCGGGGGAAAGGUAGACAAAGUUCAAACAUUCUUAUGCAUCAUGAUUAUCUUUUUUGAUUUUUGCUUGAAAGGUUUGACUCCUUAAUGGAAUUAGUACCUUUCUCCUUUGCUUUAAAUUGCAGAAAUUAGAUUGACAUCUAGGGUAUAAUUGUGUCUUACGAUUUCUAAGUCAAUAUUUGGAGAAGAUAAUCCUUGUAAAUUUGAAUAGAGAAAUGGCUACAAAUGACUUUUUUUAACCACAUAACCUUGUUAUUAAUAUGGCCUCUCUUCUUUAGAUUCCUUGUUUCAUUUCGAAAGUGGUAUUGAUGGUGUCAAUGUAGAGAAACUGAAUACAUUUGCAUACUAUUUUGGUUAGGUGUUUACCCUCUUUUUGGUCCUCACCAAUAAGGUUGAGAUGUAAUCUAUUCUUUCACCUAUUUUCACCCAGGUUAAAGUAAGUUUCUGUAAUUGUCCAUUUUCACCAUUUAUCUUCAUUUCUUGUAAGUAGAGGUAAAAGAAAUAAAGAAUACUUGUUACAAAUAGUAGUAAGACAAAGGACCACUUAAAUCUCAUGGAUCCUAUUGUAUAUUUUGGAGGAAAUGAUUUUAAAGUGGAAAAUAAAAGCAUUGUGAUACUUUUCCUGCAACGUAAAACACUUAGUUUUAGAAAUUCCUCACAACAUUCUCAAUAUAGUUCCUAUUCCUUUUUAACUAAUUAUACACGAAUGGUGAUAAAGGGCAGCAAAAUUAGUCCAUGAAAUAUGACCCGUCUAAUUUGCUUAAGUUGGGUGGGUUAAUGUCCCAUGUGUUUGUUAGUUCAAUUCAUUUUGGUUCCCUCAAUUUAGCUUAUCUAAAAGAUUAUCCUGUUCAAUUACUAACUCAAUUCAUUUUGAACCCUUCCCCUACCCCCACCCCACAAUACCAAAAUAUAGUAUAUUUAAAAGUCAGAUUGAUAUGUGUCUGUUAUGUUAUAUUUAGUCACGAUAAAGAAAAAACGUUUAUAAGGUACUUAAAUAAUUUUGAUAAACAAUCAACAUAAUUAAAACUUAGCAAGCGUUGGCAGAUUGGGUUAUAGUCCCUUAUUUAGCCUAUUUCGACCUUUUAACUUAGUUUAGCCCAAGUGACCUUUGGAUGAGUUUAUGACCGAGUCAUUUAUAAACUCAGUCUAUUUUGACUCGUUCAAAUUUCAAUCCAAUUUUUUCAUUUGACAUUCGUAUGUACAUACUUUAAAUGGCAUUAAAGAUCACGUUGUUGUUUAUUUAUUCUUUGAAAUGAUUGAGGCAGGACAUAAUACUCGUAUAUCUUUACUUUAAAGCGAC